CAAUAGCGUAUAUUUAAGUUGUUGCAGUUAAAAAGCUCGUAGUUGGAUUUCGGAUGGGACUUGCCGGUCCGUCGUUUCGAUGUGCACUGGCCAGUCCUAUCUUGUUGUCGGGGACUAGCUCCUGGGCUUCACUGUCCGGGACUAGGAGCUGACGAGGUUACUUUGAGUAAAUUAGAGUGUUCAAAGCAAGCCUACGCUCUGAAUACAUUAGCAUGGAAUAACACGAUAGGACUCUGGCUUAUCUUGUUGGUCUGUGAGACCAGAGUAAUGAUUAAGAGGGACAGUCGGGGCAUUCGUAUUUCAUUGUCAGAGGUGAAAUUCUUGGAUUUAUGAAAGACGAACUUCUGCGAAAGCAUUUGUCAAGGAUGUUUUCAUUAA
RNAcentral lists this ribosomal RNA (378 nucleotides) under uncultured eukaryote. Its description in RNAcentral is "partial 18S ribosomal RNA". It matches the Rfam family "Eukaryotic small subunit ribosomal RNA", at positions 592 to 976 of the family's 1831-position model. The record is from RNAcentral.